GCAUAAUUGAAUAGAGAAGGUGCAAACAAAACCAUGCUUUUGUUUGCUUAAUAGGGAAGUCCGGUUCAAUGCCGGCGCGGUCCCGCCACUGUAUGUGAAGAGUGAUUCUCUGCAAAUGCCACUGUCCAAUUCAAGGAUGGGAAGGUGUGAGAAUCGCGUUGACGCACGAGCCAGGAAACCUGCCUUUUUUAUUUUGUUUCU
RNAcentral lists this non-coding RNA (201 nucleotides) under Paenibacillus sp. The record is from RNAcentral. Lineage: Bacteria; Bacillati; Bacillota; Bacilli; Caryophanales; Paenibacillaceae.